This is a ribosomal RNA of 158 nucleotides. It matches the Rfam family "5.8S ribosomal RNA". Rfam says of the family: 5.8S ribosomal RNA (5.8S rRNA) is a component of the large subunit of the eukaryotic ribosome. It is transcribed by RNA polymerase I as part of the 45S precursor that also contains 18S and 28S rRNA.
AAACUUUCAACAACGGAUCUCUUGGCUCUGGCAUCGAUGAAGAACGCAGCGAAAUGCGAUACGUAAUGUGAAUUGCAGAAUCCAGUGAAUCAUCGAAUCUUUGAACGCACAUUGCGCCCGCCAGCAUUCUGGCGGGCAUGCCUGUUCGAGCGUCAUUU